RNAcentral lists this ribosomal RNA (340 nucleotides) under uncultured bacterium. RNAcentral's name for it is "bacterial SSU rRNA". It matches the Rfam family "Bacterial small subunit ribosomal RNA", at positions 28 to 363 of the family's 1533-position model. The record is from RNAcentral.
GAUGAACGCUAGCGGCAGGCUUAAUACAUGCAAGUCGUGGGGCAGCAUGAGUAGCAAUACUUGAUGGCGACCGGCAAACGGGUGAGGAACACGUACACAACCUUCCUUCAAGCGGGGAAUAGCCCAGAGAAAUUUGGAUUAAUACCCCAUAAUAUAUUUGAUAAGGCAUCUUAUUAAAUAUUAAAGCUUCGGCACUUGAUGAUGGGUGUGCGGCUGAUUAGAUAGUUGGCGGGGUAACGGCCCACCAAGUCUACGAUCAGUAGCUGAUGUGAGAGCAUGAUCAGCCACACGGGCACUGAGACACGGGCCCGACUCCUACGGGAGGCAGCAGUAAGGAAUA